ACCACCCUUUUCUCUGGGUUGCACCACUGUCCAAUGAGCGUGUAGUGUGAGUGCAGUGCUGUUAACGCCUAAAUAACACACUCGCAUCAGCUAGGGCUCUGCUUUGCCUUGGUGCGAUUUUUGGAAAA
This is a small nuclear RNA of Phyllostomus discolor (pale spear-nosed bat), 128 nucleotides long. RefSeq annotates it as U4atac minor spliceosomal RNA. NCBI's taxonomy places the organism in Eukaryota, Metazoa, Chordata, Mammalia, Chiroptera, Phyllostomidae. The record is from RefSeq and is a predicted model, not a curated record. The transcript has a single exon.